Molecule: non-coding RNA, 22 nt
Filed under: Arabidopsis thaliana (thale cress)
Lineage: Eukaryota; Viridiplantae; Streptophyta; Magnoliopsida; Brassicales; Brassicaceae
Source: RNAcentral
UUAGUAGGCCCAGGAUAGUUGA